UGGCGGACGGGUGAGUAACACGUGAGCAACCUGCCUUUCAGUGGGGGACAACAGUUGGAAACGACUGCUAAUACCGCAUAACGUGCCGGAAGGGCAUCCUUUUGGUACCAAAGAUUUAUCGCUGAAAGAUGGGCUCGCGUCUGAUUAGCUAGUUGGAGGGGUAACGGCCCACCAAGGCAACGAUCAGUAGCCGACCUGAGAGGGUGACCGGCCACAUUGGGACUGAGACACGGCCCAAACUCCUACGGAAGGCAGCAG
Molecule: ribosomal RNA, 258 nt
Filed under: uncultured bacterium
Lineage: Bacteria
Description: partial 16S ribosomal RNA
Rfam family: Bacterial small subunit ribosomal RNA
Source: RNAcentral